AUGCCUUCGACGGUGACGUUUUUGGGGAGGGAGGUGUCGGAGAUUAGCGUUUCGACUAUGCCGGCGUCAGAGAUGGGUGAGAUGGUGCGGUUACGGCAUCGGUGUUUAUUGUUGUUUGCUUCUGUAAUGAUGGACAAAGUUGAAGCUUGGAUGAAGAUUGUUGCUAAUUUUUGGAGAGUUUUGUUACUGAAGGUGAUGGGUUAUGUCUAG
This is a non-coding RNA of Vicia faba (fava bean), 210 nucleotides long. The record is from the annotation of a GenBank genome assembly. Lineage: Eukaryota; Viridiplantae; Streptophyta; Magnoliopsida; Fabales; Fabaceae.